GGACAGCGGGAGAGCGUCCCGAUGCAAUCGGGAAGGUUAGGAGUUCGAGCCUCCUAAGGUCCACAA
Molecule: transfer RNA, 66 nt
Filed under: Ignavibacteria bacterium GWB2_35_12
Lineage: Bacteria; Pseudomonadati; Ignavibacteriota; Ignavibacteria
Description: tRNA-Cys
Source: RNAcentral